AAGAAUUUCGGUAUGGGAUGGGGAUGCGUUCCAUUAGUUAGUUGGCGGGGUAACGGCCCACCAAGACAACGAUGGAUAGGGGUUCUGAGAGGAAGGUCCCCCACAUUGGAACUGAGACACGGUCCAAACUCCUACGGGAGGCAGCAGUGAGGAAUAUUGGUCAAUGGACGAGAGUCUGAACCAGCCAAGUAGCGUGAAGGAUGACUGCCCUAUGGGUUGUAAACUUCUUUUAUAUGGGAAUAAAACGUUCCACGUGUGGAAUUUUGUAUGUACCAUAUGAAUAAGGAUCGGCUAACUCCGUGCCAGCAGCCGCGGUAAUACGGAGGAUCCGAGCGUUAUCCGGAUUUAUUGGGUUUAAAGGGAGCGUAGGUGGAUUGUUAAGUCAGUUGUGAAAGUUUGCGGCUCAACCGUAAAAUUGCAGUUGAAACUGGCAGUCUUGAGUACAGUAGAGGUGGGCGGAAUUCGUGGUGUAGCGGUGAAAUGCUUAGAUAUCACGAAGAACUCCGAUUGCGAAGGCAGCUCACUGGACUGCAACUGACACUGAGGCUCGAAAGUGUGGGUAUCAAACAGGAUUAGAUACCCUGGUAGUCCACACAGUAAACGAUGAAUACUCGCUGUUUGCGAUAUACAGCAAGC
This 636-nucleotide ribosomal RNA is filed under the name uncultured bacterium. Its description in RNAcentral is "bacterial SSU rRNA". It matches the Rfam family "Bacterial small subunit ribosomal RNA", at positions 202 to 844 of the family's 1533-position model. The record is from RNAcentral.